UUUAUGUCAACUGACUGCGCACAACUUUUGUUAGCCGCAGACCAGCCGCCUCCGCACUACUCUCUACAUAUAUCUAUAAAAGGAGGAUGACCAAGAACAGGUCUAGGAUUCCACCGAAGGACCGAGAAAAACUAAAAUGUAUCCAAGAGAAAACAAGGAGAAGAGAAGAGCUUGCAGCGGACGAAUAAAAAUAAAACUGUCCAGAAAUUUUAAUAUAAGCCACUGCGAUGUUCUCCGGCCGGGAAACUGUGUCACUAGGCACCAGGCAGGCACUUCCUUAACCCUCUAUUUCCAGAUCCUACCACCUUGGCUGGCUAAGGAUGGCUGCAUUAUGGCCGGGCUUAGGGCCAAAAGCCCACCUCCUGUUGCAGCACCUUUUUGCUUUGACGCCCAACGAACCGUUACCGAACAGAAAGCCAAUUCCUGCUGCCGUGUGGAGGCAUUUUGUCUUUGACAAAAAUUUAAUACACGCCAGUUUGUCUUCGGCUUUUGUUCCCCGAAAAAGUUCACGGAAGCAGGAGCAGGAGCACCUGGAUCGGCAAAGGAGUUACAAAUCCUGUCGCCACUUGCGUGUGCAACAGCAGAAGCUGCAACAACAAAUUCAAGCGUGUUUUACAUGACAAGCGAGUAAGUCGCAUGGGGUUAAAAGUCUUGCAGUUGUUACAGCGGAUCGCUAAUGCAGUUGGUUAUUCAUCUUUCAAUUCGGCUACGAUGUGGAUUACAGCAGAACCAUUGCUUUAGAUACUAAAACUAGCUGAGCUGCUUUUCAAGUUAACAGAUUAAUAUCGUUCUAAGCCGAAUUUUCAGGACUUUCAAUGUGACGUUUUCAAAAGUACAGAUUACAGAACUCAUAUUUUGACCGUACAAAUGAUCCAGUUCAAACGACCGAACGCUCUAGACCUAUUUGGAUCGUUUUUCAAUCUGUUGACCAUCUGCAGCUGCAAAUUAGGUCGCCGAAGCGGCUGCUGCAGUUGUGGAUGAUGUUGCUGCCGUCAUUGUUGUCACAUUUGGUCGGAAUUCGCUGGCAAUUUUCGCAAACUGCUGCAACACGACGGCAGCAAUGCUGGCACAUAUGUGGCAGGACAUCCCAUUCCCAUGCUCGUUCGCAAUGCCAUUCGGAAACGAAACCCUUUCUGAGACCGAGUACAUGUUCCUGCCGUUGCCACUGUCGGUUGGCCAAUGGCUUUUAAUUGAAAGCGGCAUAUUCGAAGCGGCAGCAGGCCCAGUUAAAAAUUGUAAUUUCCAUUUCCCUGCCAUCGACUUGCUUUGGCCUUUUUUUCCCAUACCGAGCGGCUUUAAAAUUGCCGCUGGGGCAAAAGCAAGUUCCUCGGGCCGUUCUUUAUGUUGCUGCUGUGGUUGCUGCUGCCGCCAAAUUAAAUUGGCUUUAAAUUGACACCUCCGGUGGCAGGAUAUACCCAACACUAUAGCACACAGCCCUCCACACAUCCGCGUUGCUUAACUUUAUUAAGGAUUUCGUGCUGCAGCUGCUGCCUCCGCCUUCGCCACGCCCCCUUUGCAACAGCGGCAGUUAAUAAAGAACCAAAUUAUUGUGUUGUUCACACUUUGACACAUGGAAACGGAAAUUAAAUUAAGGAUUUUUUCAAUAAACCUUCGAGCUUUAAGGUUCGACCGAUUCCUUCGAGCAGCUGUGCCUGUGCAAGUUCACAUAUAAAUAAAGCACAAAUUAGUUUUGCAUGCAAU
Non-coding RNA from Drosophila melanogaster (fruit fly), 1701 nucleotides. NCBI's taxonomy places the organism in Eukaryota, Metazoa, Arthropoda, Insecta, Diptera, Drosophilidae. The record is from Ensembl.